RNAcentral lists this ribosomal RNA (235 nucleotides) under uncultured bacterium. RNAcentral describes it as "partial 16S ribosomal RNA". It matches the Rfam family "Bacterial small subunit ribosomal RNA", at positions 15 to 245 of the family's 1533-position model. The record is from RNAcentral.
GAUCAUGGCUCAGGAUGAAGCUAGCGACAGGCUUAACACAUGCAAGUCGAGGGGCAGCACAGGGUAGCAAUACUUGGGUGGCGACCGGCGCACGGGUGAGUAACGCGUAUGCAACUUACCUAUCAGAGGGGGAUAGUCCGGCGAAAGUCGGAUUAAUACCCCAUGAAACAGGGGUCCCGCAUGGGAAUAUUUGUUAAAGAUUCAUCGCUGAUAGUUAGGCAUGCGUUCCAUUAGG